Molecule: long non-coding RNA, 2510 nt
Organism: Ostrea edulis (European flat oyster)
Lineage: Eukaryota; Metazoa; Mollusca; Bivalvia; Ostreida; Ostreidae
Exons: 2
Source: RefSeq, a predicted model, not a curated record
UCCAUAUGUGCAUAAAAUAUAACUCCCACCUGUGCAUGUGAUUGUAAACGAACGGAUGUCAUGUAAAUGUAUACCACAUUUGUAAACAUGGGCUCUCACAACUCUUUUAUACACGUAUCAACACUUAGCGAAAGUUACGUCCCUUGUCCGCCAUCUCCCGGAUAAAAAUCGUAUUUCCCCACGUUGGCCUUUGUAAUUUUCCUAUCUGUAGCUUUGACAUCUGUUAUUUUUCCAUCAAUUGCAGUCAACUACAAUAUGCCCCAGAUUGGGGCAACCCAUUAACUUGUAUGAAAACUUGGUAAUUGGCUAAAAUUCAAAGUAAUAACAUCUUACAUUUGGUAAGGUAAAGAAGGAAAACUGGGUUUUUCACCGAUUGACCUUUGGCUGACCCCGCAAAGGGACGUAACUUGCGGCGAAGUGUUGAUACAUGUAUUAAGAAAAUAAUAAUAUCGUUAUGAAAAUAACUGUUACCUUGAACUACAUGUAUAAAAGUAAUGAAAAACAAAUAUCUGUAUAGACCUACUAUCUAGGGGUAUGAGGGAACCGGACAAAAAGUGGAGGGGGGAUGUGUUGAAUUAUAAUUCCCUAGACUAUAGUAUACAUAUACUAUUACUUUGAAAUUUCAGUGACCUAAGAAAUAUAUCAAACCUGAAGUUUCGUGUUUCACACAAACAUGUAGGUUGGCAAAACCUUUUUAAAUAAUGUAAAUUAAUCACAAGUCUGCAUAUGCCCUCUCAUAGGCAAAUGUAUGCACUGUAUGUAUAAGUAAGAUAUGUAUACUACACGUAUGCCCUUCUCUUGACCCACAUUUUGUAAAUAAAACAGAUAUGAUAAGUCUAUGGCAGUUUAUGAAAACAUAUAUACAUGUCAUCUCAUUGCAAUUUAUAAUUUUGAAACAUCAGUAUUUAAAUUUUAACUGAAUAUGUGUUGAGACACAGUUUUAAAAUUCACAUUGUCUGACGCAAUCUAAUUACUCAAUGGUAUAAUAUAGACCUAACUGUGCAAAUAUCAAUUAUGAUGAUCUUUUUUCUAGGCAUCAGCCUGAAGACCGAGGGAGGUUAGAUAGGACCAGUGCAGGUUGAAGUGGAUUUCAAGUCAACAAGUAUAACAGCAAGAGAGGUACUCCAUUUACAGUGAUGAUGACAUAUCCCCUGGACCCCCACAACUCCACAAAUUUAAAAAUGUUUGAUCAAGUUCCAAAGAUUAAAGAACUACUGCAAAAUUUGGGACUGGAUGAAAAACAUUAAUUCACUUAUAUGAGCUCAGAGCAGUGGAUGUUAUACAACAUACUUUAAACUAAAUUGUGAAUUUAAGGGAAAACAAGUACAUGUCAUGUACUCGUAUAUUACAAGUACAUGCCUUUUGAAAGACAAUAAUAUUGCAUAGAUGUAAAGGAAAUUCAAUGUUGAUUAUUCUUUCUUAGAUAUAUUAGUAAAAAAUGUGCACAUGAUAGAAUAUCAAUUUUAUAACUUCAAUCAAUGUGUUUGAAUUUUCCUUGUAAUUCAAAAUUUAGUUGAAACAUACAUCAUAGAUACAUUAAUGUAUAUCAAAUUUUUAGAAAAGUUUCAUAAUGGAACUAAUUCACCCCACCCCUUAUACAUACAGUGAACAUAGACCUUCACCUGGGGAAAACUUCAGUUAGUUAAUGCAAUAUACAUGUACAUGCAUUCUCAUUUAUCCAAUAGUGAGUUUUUGGUUCCAUGUGAAACUACAAUUAGAAAUCUUAAACUUAUGAAAGACACACCUAUCUGUGAGGGUAAGAUGACUCAGAUGGACUUACAUGUAGUGAUCCAUGGGCAGUCCAUGGGUCUCUUUCCAUUGAUAUUGAUUAUUUAUUGAAAUAUGAAAUGGUUAUUUAACCAUAUUUGGUGUAUUAUACUGUAUAGUGAUAUAAAUUUCUAUCAAAAAAUAUGUAUAGGUAAUAGAUUUGGUCCAGUUAUUACAAGAAAUUGUAUGAAAAAUAACUAAAUAUUUAGGCAAUCAUUGUGAGUGCGAAAAGAUCAACUGCAAUAGCACACACUAUAUAUCAUUCUUAAAUGGCUCAUAGAAACUUCUAGUAUUGUGAGUUUGAAUGCUCAAUAUGGUAAUUUGGGAAUGCUUAAUCAUUUAAGGUCAAUAGUUUAUCUCUGCUGACUGUAUCUCUUAAAAUUCAUUUCUAGAAGGGAGGGGGUAGGGUUACAAAAUCUGACAUAGUUUCAGAUUAAACCUCAUUUGGUAUAUUUUUUUCUAUUCAAUAUUUUAGAUACUACUUGACUUUUUGUAAAAAUGAAAUAAAAUCAGAAAUUUUAUGAGCAGAAUUUUGUUGUUGUCAGAAAAUGUAUGCCUGAUAGUAUUUGAGAAACGCCAUAUUUAGGGUAAAUUUGGCCAAUUGCCAAGUCGAAUCAUGCCAAUGUUUUCCUUAGAUGCAUUUUGAAUUUCUAAUCCAUGUUGAUUUUUUAUCUGUUUGUGUUUAAUUUACAUAACUAUAUAUGACAAACAAUAUUUCUGGUGUCAAUAAAUUUUUUAUUGGC